This 662-nucleotide unclassified non-coding RNA is filed under the name Hevea brasiliensis (rubber tree). Lineage: Eukaryota; Viridiplantae; Streptophyta; Magnoliopsida; Malpighiales; Euphorbiaceae. The record is from RNAcentral.
UUGGUUGUUUUGGAUGAUGUGUGGUCACUAUCUGUGCUUGAACAGCUAAUUUUUAGAGUAGCUGGAUGCAAAACACUUGUGGUUUCACGAUUCAAAUUCCCAUCAGUUCUCAGUGCUACUUAUGAAGUAGAAUUUUUGAGGGAAGAUGAGGCAAUCUCCCUCUUUUGCCUUUCUGCUUUUGAAAAAAAAUCUGUUCCGGCUGCUGCUGAUGCCAAUCUGGUCAAGCAGAUCGUAAAUGAGUGCAAAGGACUGCCUUUGGCACUUAAAGUGAUCGGAGCUUCACUAAGGGACCAACCUGAGAUGUAUUGGGCGAGUGCAAAGAAGAGAUUAUCAAGGGGUGAACCUAUUUGCGAGUCCCAUGAAAACAAAUUGCUUGAUAGGAUGGCAAUAAGCAUUAACUUCUUGUCAAAAAAGGUUAGGGAAUGCUUCUUAGAUUUGGGGUGCUUUCCUGAAGACAAGAAGAUCCCUCUUGACGUUCUCAUCAAUAUGUGGGUUGAGAUACAUGACCUUAAUGGGGAAGAAGCUUUUGCUAUCCUUGUUGAACUUUCUAACAAGAAUCUUCUCACUUUGGUGAAGGAUGCACGAGCUGGAGAUCUAUAUAGCAGUUACUAUGAGAUUUUUGUUACUCAACAUGAUGUGUUACGGGAUCUUGCUAUUCAUUU